This 104-nucleotide transfer RNA is filed under the name Candidatus Woesearchaeota archaeon. RNAcentral's name for it is "tRNA-Asn". It matches the Rfam family "tRNA". Rfam says of the family: Transfer RNA (tRNA) molecules are approximately 80 nucleotides in length. Lineage: Archaea; Nanobdellati; Candidatus Woesearchaeota. The record is from RNAcentral.
GCCCCGGUAGCUUAGCAGGUAGAGCGUGCGGCUGUUAACCGCAAAUCCUUUUUAACGUUGUUAAGAGGAGUAGAUGGUCACCAGUUCGAGUCUGGUCCGGGGCG